Long non-coding RNA from Xenia sp. Carnegie-2017, 950 nucleotides. RefSeq lists it as uncharacterized. The record is from RefSeq and is a predicted model, not a curated record. The transcript has 2 exons. NCBI's taxonomy places the organism in Eukaryota, Metazoa, Cnidaria, Anthozoa, Malacalcyonacea, Xeniidae.
UGAUAGACUGUCUACGGAUGAAAAAUGAUCGCUUGACAAAAAUAAUGAACUUAUAGACAAAAUGUUUUCGGUUUGAAAACUACGAUUCUUCAAUUUGACGAACGUAUUUGAUAAUCUCUCGUUUACACAAGUAAAAUAAGCAUAAAGAAGAUAUCUUAAGUGUUUAUUUAUUCUCGUGAGACUUGAAAAGACAUAGAAAACGGAUUUUUUAUUGUUCACCGCUCGAUUUAUGCCGCUUUUUGUCUUUGUUUGACACUUUCUCGUCAUUUUCGCAAUUGAUUAUUUCACUUUGUGAAUGUAUUUUACUGUGCUUUAUAACAGCGUGUGUGUAUAUAGAAGUUAUUGCAUGCUAACGGAGAACACAUUUUUCUUGUAUAACUUAGGAAGCUGCUCUACAGACAUCAAAAUCAUGCUUUCAAAUACACCCAUCGGUUGAAUACCAUUAUGGACAGGAAAGAGUCACAGAAGAUAAAAAAGAAAGAUGACAGCAGUGAAGUUGGUGGUACCACACAAGCGAAACAAAAACAAUUUAUGGAAGUACCAUAUUAAAGACAACAAAGUUUUCCUCAAGAUGCUGCAAAUGUGAAAAGUUGAUCAUCCUUCCGAACAAAACACCCUUAUUCAUCCACGAUAUCCAUUUUGACCGACCAACAAUAAACAGCUAUUGUCUAUUUCUAGAAGAUUGCACUGUCGAUGUUAGAAAUGACUGGAAGAUUUGAAAUUAAUGGGAUAUGUUUGCUUGUUAACUGACUUGCACUUCUAAACCAUAGAGUAAUGUUAUAGAAGUUAGGACAAGUCAGUUAACAACAUGUUAAUAUGGAGGUGCUCCUUAUCUUCUGAUUUUGAAUUUGACAUCGAAAUGAAAUCUAAUUUACAAUAGACUCUAUCAUAGUUACAAAAAGAAAUUGCAGUACGCUGGCAGAGUAUUGCAAAAUCAUCAAAUUCAACGU